RNAcentral lists this ribosomal RNA (221 nucleotides) under uncultured bacterium. RNAcentral describes it as "partial 16S ribosomal RNA". It matches the Rfam family "Bacterial small subunit ribosomal RNA", at positions 524 to 741 of the family's 1533-position model. The record is from RNAcentral.
UACGUAGGGUGCAAGCGUUAAUCGGAAUUACUGGGCGUAAAGCGUGCGCAGGCGGUUUUGUAAGUCUGUCGUGAAAUCCCCGGGCUCAACCUGGGAAUUGCGAUGGAGACUGCAAGGCUAGAAUCUGGCAGGAGGGGGGUAGAAUUCCGACGUGUGAGCAGUGAAAUGCGUAGAGAUGUGGAGGAACACCGAUGGCGAAGGCAGCCCCCUGGGUCAAGAUU